Molecule: ribosomal RNA, 716 nt
Filed under: uncultured Bacteroidales bacterium
Lineage: Bacteria; Pseudomonadati; Bacteroidota; Bacteroidia; Bacteroidales
Description: bacterial SSU rRNA
Rfam family: Bacterial small subunit ribosomal RNA
Source: RNAcentral
GAUGAACGCUAGCUACAGGCUUAACACAUGCAAGUCGAGGGGCAUCAGGGUGUAGCAAUACACCGCUGGCGACCGGCGCACGGGUGAGUAACACGUAUCCAACCUGCCCUUUACUCGGGGAUAGCCUUUCGAAAGAAAGAUUAAUACCCGAUGGUAUAACAUGACCUCCUGGUUUUGUUAUUAAAGAAUUUCGGUAGAGGAUGGGGAUGCGUUCCAUUAGGCAGUUGGCGGGGUAACGGCCCACCAAACCUUCGAUGGAUAGGGGUUCUGAGAGGAAGGUCCCCCACAUUGGAACCGAGACACGGUCCAAACUCCUACGGGAGGCAGCAGUGAGGAAUAUUGGUCAAUGGGCGAGAGCCUGAACCAGCCAAGUAGCGUGAAGGAUGACCGCCCUAUGGGUUGUAAACUUCUUUUAUAUGGGGAUAAAGUUUGCCACGUGUGGCAUUUUGUAUGUACCAUAUGAAUAAGGAUCGGCUAACUCCGUGCCAGCAGCCGCGGUAAUACGGAGGAUCCGAGCGUUAUCCGGAUUUAUUGGGUUUAAAGGGAGCGUAGGUGGACAUGUAAGUCAGUUGUGAAAGUUUGCGGCUCAACCGUAAAAUUGCAGUUGAUACUGCGUGUCUUGAGUACAGUAGAGGUGGGCGGAAUUCGUGGUGUAGCGGUGAAAUGCUUAGAUAUCACGAAGAACUCCGAUUGCGAAGGCAGCUCACUGGACUGCA